This 970-nucleotide non-coding RNA is filed under the name Mus saxicola (spiny mouse). RNAcentral's name for it is "12S ribosomal RNA". It matches the Rfam family "Bacterial small subunit ribosomal RNA". Lineage: Eukaryota; Metazoa; Chordata; Mammalia; Rodentia; Muridae. The record is from RNAcentral.
ACAAAGGUUUGGUCCUGGCCUUAUAAUUAGUUGGAGGUAAAAUUACACAUGCAAAUAUCCGCAAACCGGUGUAAAAUCCCUUAAAAGUUUAAUAAACUUCAAGGAGAGGGUAUCAAGCACAUUUUAAAUAGCUUAAGACACCUUGCCUAGCCACACCCCCACGGGAUUCAGCAGUGAUAAAUAUUAAGCAAUAAACGAAAGUUUGACUAAGUUAUACCUCUUAGGGUUGGUAAAUUUCGUGCCAGCCACCGCGGUCAUACGAUUAACCCAAACUAAUUAUUCUCGGCGUAAAAUGUGUUAACUACAAAUAAAAUAAUAGAAUUAAAAUCCAACUUAUAUGUGAAAAUUCAUUGUUAGGACCUAAAUUCAAUUACGAAAGUAAUUCUAAUAAUUGUAAUACACGACAGCUAAGACCCAAACUGGGAUUAGAUACCCCACUAUGCUUAGCCAUAAACUUAAAUAUUUAAUAAAACAAAACUAUUUGCCAGAGAACUACUAGCUAUAGCUUAAAACUCAAAGGACUUGGCGGUACUUUAUAUCCAUCUAGAGGAGCCUGUUCUAUAAUCGAUAAACCCCGCUCCACCUCACCAUCUCUUGCUAAUUCAGCCUAUAUACCGCCAUCUUCAGCAAACCCUAAAAAGGUAUCAGAGUAAGCACAAGAAUUUUACAUAAAAACGUUAGGUCAAGGUGUAGCCAAUGAGAUGGAAAGAAAUGGGCUACAUUUUCUUUUAAAAGAACAUCACCACACCCUUUAUGAAACGAAAGGAUAAAGGAGGAUUUAGUAGUAAAUUAAGAAUAGAGAGCUUAGUUGAAUAGAGCAAUGAAGUACGCACACACCGCCCGUCACCCUCCUCAAAUUAAAUUUCACCUUAAUAAAUAUUCAUAUACUAUCUAAUAUUUUAUCAACACAUUUAUGAGAGGAGAUAAGUCGUAACAAGGUAAGCAUACUGGAAAGUGUGCUUGGAAAAAC